AGCAGCCGCGGUAAUUCCAGCUCCAAUAGCGUAUAUUAAAGUUGUUGCAGUUAAAAAGCUCGUAGUUGAAUUUCGGGGUUAGUAGGUUGGUCAUGCCUCUGGUAUGUACUGGUCUCACUGAUUCCUCCUUCUUUAUGAACCGUAAUGCCAUUAAUUUGGUGUUGCGGGGAAUUUGGACUGUUACUUUGAAAAAAUUAGAGUGUUUAAAGCAAGCUAACGCUUGAAUACAUUAGCAUGGAAUAAUGAAAUAGGACGUUCGAUCUUAUUUUGUUGGUUUCUAGGAUUUGACGUAAUGAUUAAUAGGGAUAGUUGGGGGCAUUAGUAUUCAAUUGUCAGAGGUGAAAUUCUUGGAUUUAUUGAAGACUAACUACUGCGAAAGCAUUUGCCAAGGAUGUUUUCAUUAAUCAAGAACGAAAGUUAGGGAUCGAAGACGAUCAGAUACCGUCGUAGUCUUAACCAUAAACUAUGCCGACUAGGGAUCGGAUGAUGUUAAUUUUUAUGACUCAUUCGGCGCCUUACG
Molecule: ribosomal RNA, 520 nt
Filed under: uncultured Glomeraceae
Lineage: Eukaryota; Fungi; Glomeromycota; Glomeromycetes; Glomerales; Glomeraceae
Description: SSU rRNA
Rfam family: Eukaryotic small subunit ribosomal RNA
Source: RNAcentral